GCCUUGUAAUUGGAAUGAUGGGAAUUUAAACCUCUUCCAGAGUAUCAAUUGGAGGGCAAGUCUGGUGCCAGCAGCCGCGGUAAUUCCAGCUCCAAUAGCGUAUAUUAAAAUUGUUGCAGUUAAAAAGCUCGUAGUUGAAUUUCUGCUGCAUCGCGUCUUCUUUUUGAUGAGUUGGCGUAUUGCGGCUUUUUUCGGACGAUUUUUUUGUCCGGAUGAUUACUUUGAGAAAAUUAGAGUGCUCAAAGCAGGCUUUUGCCUUGAAUAGUUUAGCAUGGAAUAAUAAAGUAGGACUUUGGUUCUAUUUUGUUGGUUUUAGGUACCAAAGUAAUGGUUAAUAGGAACAGUUGGGGGCAUUCGUAUUUAACUGUCAGAGGUGAAAUUCUUAGAUUUGUUAAAGACGAACUACUGCGAAAGCAUUUGCCAAGGAUGUUUUCAUUAAUCAAGAACGAAAGUUAGGGGAUCGAAGACGAUCAGAUACCGUCGUAGUCCUAACCAUAAACUA
This 502-nucleotide ribosomal RNA is filed under the name Theileria luwenshuni. Its description in RNAcentral is "SSU rRNA". It matches the Rfam family "Eukaryotic small subunit ribosomal RNA", at positions 500 to 1039 of the family's 1831-position model. The record is from RNAcentral. Lineage: Eukaryota; Apicomplexa; Aconoidasida; Piroplasmida; Theileriidae.